This 1440-nucleotide ribosomal RNA is filed under the name Klebsiella aerogenes. Its description in RNAcentral is "Enterobacter aerogenes 16S ribosomal RNA". It matches the Rfam family "Bacterial small subunit ribosomal RNA". Lineage: Bacteria; Pseudomonadati; Pseudomonadota; Gammaproteobacteria; Enterobacterales; Enterobacteriaceae. The record is from RNAcentral.
GUCGAGCGGUAACACAGAGAGCUUGCUCUCGGGUGACGAGCGGCGGACGGGUGAGUAAUGUCUGGGAAACUGCCUGAUGGAGGGGGAUAACUACUGGAAACGGUAGCUAAUACCGCAUAACGUCGCAAGACCAAAGUGGGGGACCUUCGGGCCUCAUGCCAUCAGAUGUGCCCAGAUGGGAUUAGCUAGUAGGUGGGGUAAUGGCUCACCUAGGCGACGAUCCCUAGCUGGUCUGAGAGGAUGACCAGCCACACUGGAACUGAGACACGGUCCAGACUCCUACGGGAGGCAGCAGUGGGGAAUAUUGCACAAUGGGCGCAAGCCUGAUGCAGCCAUGCCGCGUGUAUGAAGAAGGCCUUCGGGUUGUAAAGUACUUUCAGCGAGGAGGAAGGCAUUAAGGUUAAUAACCUUGGUGAUUGACGUUACUCGCAGAAGAAGCACCGGCUAACUCCGUGCCAGCAGCCGCGGUAAUACGGAGGGUGCAAGCGUUAAUCGGAAUUACUGGGCGUAAAGCGCACGCAGGCGGUCUGUCAAGUCGGAUGUGAAAUCCCCGGGCUCAACCUGGGAACUGCAUUUCGAAACUGGCAGGCUAGAGUCUUGUAGAGGGGGGUAGAAUUCCAGGUGUAGCGGUGAAAUGCGUAGAGAUCUGGAGGAAUACCGGUGGCGAAGGCGGCCCCCUGGACAAAGACUGACGCUCAGGUGCGAAAGCGUGGGGAGCAAACAGGAUUAGAUACCCUGGUAGUCCACGCCGUAAACGAUGUCGACUUGGAGGUUGUGCCCUUGAGGCGUGGCUUCCGGAGCUAACGCGUUAAGUCGACCGCCUGGGGAGUACGGCCGCAAGGUUAAAACUCAAAUGAAUUGACGGGGGCCCGCACAAGCGGUGGAGCAUGUGGUUUAAUUCGAUGCAACGCGAAGAACCUUACCUACUCUUGACAUCCAGAGAACUUAGCAGAGAUGCUUUGGUGCCUUCGGGAACUCUGAGACAGGUGCUGCAUGGCUGUCGUCAGCUCGUGUUGUGAAAUGUUGGGUUAAGUCCCGCAACGAGCGCAACCUUAUCCUUUGUUGCCAGCGGUCCGGCCGGGAACUCAAAGGAGACUGCCAGUGAUAAACUGGAGGAAGGUGGGGAUGACGUCAAGUCAUCAUGGCCCUUACGAGUAGGGCUACACACGUGCUACAAUGGCAUAUACAAAGAGAAGCGACCUCGCGAGAGCAAGCGGACCUCAUAAAGUAUGUCGUAGUCCGGAUUGGAGUCUGCAACUCGACUCCAUGAAGUCGGAAUCGCUAGUAAUCGUAGAUCAGAAUGCUACGGUGAAUACGUUCCCGGGCCUUGUACACACCGCCCGUCACACCAUGGGAGUGGGUUGCAAAAGAAGUAGGUAGCUUAACCUUCGGGAGGGCGCUUACCACUUUGUGAUUCAUGACUGGGGGAAGUCGAACAAG